CAAUAUUUCAAUAGUUUCCAUCACAUGCAUUAGGUAGUGUAACUUAUGAUCAGGUUUCAAGGCUCAUAGCUCCUCUUGCCUACAGUGCGCAGUUUGCUGCACUUAUGGUGUGCGCUCUACGUUUAGGGUGUGAACCGGUAUCUGGUCUAGUAGCUGUAGGGGGUAUUUUGACAGUCUUUAUGUAUCAGUUUGUUUUUUUUCCACAGAUAAUGUAACAUUAGUCGGUCUGGUAACGAACAUUUGGUCUGAAAGAACAAUGUUGCGCAGACAAGGCUUUACUCUCGCUACCUGAUAGACCCGUCCUUGGGUUCCUUCUGUUAUACCCUCGAGCAAUCGUGGCUAAUGCCUGCAGUUAUAUUGCGCUUGUACGUAACUAGGUCGGAAUCCCGGGUCCUUACGGCGAUUGCCGCCUCGGGCUCCAA
This is a non-coding RNA of Pelobates cultripes (western spadefoot toad), 422 nucleotides long. Lineage: Eukaryota; Metazoa; Chordata; Amphibia; Anura; Pelobatidae. The record is from the annotation of a GenBank genome assembly.